CUCGUCCUCGUCGCAAUUACGGGCGGCGUCCUAUACGUCCUCUACCGCCCCCAUCGCCCCUCAUUUUCUGUCUCCUCUCUACAAGUCUCCCAAUUCAACCUCACUUCCUCCUCUAAGCUCACCUCCAAAUUCAACCUCACCGUCACAACUCGUAAUCCCAACAAAAAGAUUACCUUCUAUUACAAUCCAAUCACGGUUUUAAUCACCUCAAACGGCGUUAACGUCGGCGCCGGUUCAAUUCCGGCCUUCACCCACGGAACCAAAAACACAACUACUCUGAAAUC
RNAcentral lists this long non-coding RNA (284 nucleotides) under Panax ginseng (ginseng). Its description in RNAcentral is "long non-coding RNA (PGIN_LNC017959)". The record is from RNAcentral. Lineage: Eukaryota; Viridiplantae; Streptophyta; Magnoliopsida; Apiales; Araliaceae.